UCCUCCUUACAGAGGCAGUUUGUUCCGAGUUCCCGACUUUACUCGCUGGCAACAGAACAUGAGGGUUGCGCUCGUUGCGGGACUUAACCCAACAUUUCACAACACGAGCUGACGACAGCCAUGCACCACCUGUAUAGCACCCUCGAAGGCGACUCCGUUUCGGGAGCUUGCAGCUAUAUGUCAAGCCCUGGUAAGGUUCUUCGCGUUGCAUCGAAUUAAGCCACAUGCUCCACCGCUUGUGCGGGCCCCCGCCAAUUCCUUUGAGUUUUAGCCUUGCGGCCGUACUCCCCAGGCGGAGUGUUUCACGCGUUAGCUGGGCCCCUGAUCCACGUAGACCAAGGGCGAACACUCAUCGUUUACGGCAUGGACUAC
Molecule: unclassified non-coding RNA, 372 nt
Filed under: uncultured bacterium
Lineage: Bacteria
Description: contains 16S-23S intergenic spacer region
Source: RNAcentral